AACGAACGCUGGCGGCAUGCCUAACACAUGCAAGUCGAACGAGACCUUCGGGACUAGUGGCGCACGGGUGCGUAACGCGUGGGAACCUGCCCUUAGGUUCGGAAUAACUCCCCGAAAGGGGUGCUAAUACCGGAUAAUGUCUUCGGACCAAAGAUUUAUCGCCUUUGGAUGGGCCCGCGUUGGAUUAGCUAGUUGGUAGGGUAAAAGCCUACCAAGGCGACGAUCCAUAGCUGGUCUGAGAGGAUGAUCAGCCACACUGGGACUGAGACACGGCCCAGACUCCUACGGGAGGCAGCAGUGGGGAAUAUUGGACAAUGGGCGAAAGCCUGAUCCAGCAAUGCCGCGUAAGUGAUGAAGGCCUUAGGGUUGUAAAGCUCUUUUACCCGGGAUGAUAAUGACAGUACCGGGAGAAUAAGCUCCGGCUAACUCCGUG
Molecule: ribosomal RNA, 433 nt
Filed under: uncultured bacterium
Lineage: Bacteria
Description: partial 16S ribosomal RNA
Rfam family: Bacterial small subunit ribosomal RNA
Source: RNAcentral